GCGGGUGUGGUGAAACUGGUAGACGCGCCAGACUCAAACUCUGGUGUCCGCAAGGACGUGUCGGUUCGACUCCGACCACCCGCACCA
RNAcentral lists this transfer RNA (87 nucleotides) under Alphaproteobacteria bacterium. RNAcentral's name for it is "tRNA-Leu". It matches the Rfam family "tRNA". From Rfam's summary of the family: Transfer RNA (tRNA) molecules are approximately 80 nucleotides in length. Their secondary structure includes four short double-helical elements and three loops (D, anti-codon, and T loops). The record is from RNAcentral. Lineage: Bacteria; Pseudomonadati; Pseudomonadota; Alphaproteobacteria.